This 363-nucleotide long non-coding RNA is filed under the name Homo sapiens (human). Its description in RNAcentral is "non-protein coding lnc-CDK2AP1-2:1". Lineage: Eukaryota; Metazoa; Chordata; Mammalia; Primates; Hominidae. The record is from RNAcentral.
GCAUCUCACUUCAUGGAAGUAGGGGCAGAAGUUCCCUCUGGAUCCUUUUCUUGACAAGCAGUCAAGAGGAAGGUCCCCAUACACAUGUACCUGUGUGAUACUUGGUAGUUUCUAAGAAUGGUGCUACAUAAGCGUUGCUGUUAGGCUGGGAUCCUAUUAAUGAACGUUUGAUUAGUUCAGGCCUCCCAAUGGCAAAGGCAGACACCGUGGAGAUGGACAUUUACUGACUCCCCUUCUGUGUGGCUUCGGUCUCCCUGGCUAACACCACACCUGUGCGUACUGCGCUCGGCCCACUUUGCUGCAGAAACGUAGCAAGCGUUUCAUGUCAGGGCUACAGCUGAGAGCAAAAACUGCAAAAAAAAA